GCACUCGUAGCUCAAUUGGAUAGAGCGUCAGCCUCCGAAGCUGAAGGUUUCGGGUUCGACUCCCGACGAGUGUA
RNAcentral lists this transfer RNA (74 nucleotides) under Bacteroidota bacterium. Its description in RNAcentral is "tRNA-Arg". It matches the Rfam family "tRNA". From Rfam's summary of the family: Transfer RNA (tRNA) molecules are approximately 80 nucleotides in length. Their secondary structure includes four short double-helical elements and three loops (D, anti-codon, and T loops). Further hydrogen bonds mediate the characteristic L-shaped molecular structure. tRNAs have two regions of fundamental functional importance: the anti-codon, which is responsible for specific mRNA codon recognition, and the 3' end, to which the tRNAs corresponding amino acid is attached (by aminoacyl-tRNA synthetases). tRNAs cope with the degeneracy of the genetic code in two manners: having more than one tRNA (with a specific anti-codon) for a particular amino acid; and 'wobble' base-pairing, i.e. permitting non-standard base-pairing at the 3rd anti-codon position. Lineage: Bacteria; Pseudomonadati; Bacteroidota. The record is from RNAcentral.